RNAcentral lists this ribosomal RNA (463 nucleotides) under uncultured bacterium. RNAcentral describes it as "partial 16S ribosomal RNA". It matches the Rfam family "Bacterial small subunit ribosomal RNA", at positions 29 to 506 of the family's 1533-position model. The record is from RNAcentral.
AUGAACGCUGGCGGCGUGGAUAAGGCAUGCAAGUCGAACGAUACUGAGGCCGCAAGGCCGAAGUAUAGUGGCAGACGGGGUAGUAAUACGUAGAUACUUACCCCAGAGACGGGCAUAAUCCGCCGAAAGGCGGACUAACUCCCGAUGGUCCCUGAGGCGUAAGCCGAAGGGUAAAUCACUUAGAUUGGCUCUGGGAAAGGUCUGCGGGCUAUCAGCUAGUUGGCGGGGUAAAAGCCCACCAAGGCAAUGACGGCUAGGGGGAGUGAGAGCUCGCCCCCCACCAAUGGCACUGAGAUACGGGCCAUACCUCUACGGAGGGCCGCAGCCGAGAAUAUUCCACAAUGGGCGAAAGCCUGAUGGAGCGACGCCGCGUGCAGGAUGAAGUCCUUCGGGACGUAAACUGCUUUUAUAGGGGAUAAACGCAAGUGAUAGUACCCUAUGAAUAAGGGCUUGCUAACCUCGU